UACGGGGGGAGCAAGCGUUGUUCGGAUUUACUGGGCGUAAAGGGCGCGUAGGCGGUGGCACAAGUCAGUUGUGAAAUCUCCGGGCUUAACUCGGAAAGGUCAACUGAUACUGUGCGACUAGAGUGCAGAAGGGGCAACUGGAAUUCUCGGUGUAGCGGUGAAAUGCGUAGAUAUCGAGAGGAACACCUGCGGCGAAGGCGGGUUGCUGGGCUGACACUGACGCUGAGGCGCGAAAGCCAGGGGAGCGAACGGG
Molecule: ribosomal RNA, 253 nt
Filed under: uncultured bacterium
Lineage: Bacteria
Description: partial 16S ribosomal RNA
Rfam family: Bacterial small subunit ribosomal RNA
Source: RNAcentral